UAAUACGAACCGUACAAACGUUAUUCGGAAUCACUGGGCUUAAAGGGUGCGUAGGCGGCCAUGUAAGUGAGGUGUGAAAUCCCUCGGCUCAACCGAGGAACUGCGCUUCAUACUGCAUGGCUUGAGGGAGACAGGGGUAAGCGGAACUGAUGGUGGAGCGGUGAAAUGCGUUGAUAUCAUCAGGAACACCGGUGGCGAAAGCGGCUUACUGGGUCUCUUCUGACGCUGAGGUACGAAAGCUAGGGUAGCGAACGGGAUUAGAUACCCCGGUAGUCCUAGCUGUAAACGAUGAGCACUUGGUUGGGGAUCCUCCCAUAGGUUCUCGACCGUAGCGAAAGUGUUAAGUGCUCCGCCUGGGGAGUAUGGUCGCAAGGCUG
This 377-nucleotide ribosomal RNA is filed under the name uncultured bacterium. RNAcentral's name for it is "bacterial SSU rRNA". It matches the Rfam family "Bacterial small subunit ribosomal RNA", at positions 521 to 896 of the family's 1533-position model. The record is from RNAcentral.